GAUGAACGCUGGCGGCGUGCUUAACACAUGCAAGUCGAACGAUGAAGCCCAGCUUGCUGGGUGGUUUAGUGGCGAACGGGUGAGUAACACGUGAGUAACCUGCCCUUAACUCUGGGAUAAGCCUGGGAAACUGGGUCUAAUACCUGAUAGGAGCGUCCACCGCAUGGUGGGUGUUGGAAAGAUUUAUCGGUUUUGGAUGGACUCGCGGCCUAUCAGCUUGUUGGUGAAGUAAUGGUUCACCAAGGCCUCGACGGGUAGCCGGCCUGAGAGGGUGAACGGCCACACUGCGACUGAGAGACGGCCCAGACUCCUACGGGAGGCAGCAGUGGGGAAUAUUGCACAAUGGGCGCAAGCCUGAUGCAGCGACGCCGCGUGAGGGAUGACGGCCUUCGGGUUGUAAACCUCUUUCAGUAGGGAAGAAGCGAAAGUGACGGUACCUGCAGAAGAAGCACCGGCUAACUACGUG
RNAcentral lists this ribosomal RNA (466 nucleotides) under uncultured bacterium. Its description in RNAcentral is "partial 16S ribosomal RNA". It matches the Rfam family "Bacterial small subunit ribosomal RNA", at positions 28 to 507 of the family's 1533-position model. The record is from RNAcentral.